Molecule: non-coding RNA, 27 nt
Filed under: Rattus norvegicus (Norway rat)
Lineage: Eukaryota; Metazoa; Chordata; Mammalia; Rodentia; Muridae
Source: RNAcentral
UACUACUUAAUACCACAGGCUUGGAUU